UUUUUUUUGUUUGUUUAUUCUUUUUUUUUUCUUUUCUUUUUUUUUUUUUUUAAGAUUCCAUACUGUAGUCACACUUUUUGGUGUUUAUCUUUGUCUGACUUAUUUCACUUAGAAUAAUACACCCUAGGUCCAUCCAUGUUGUCACAAAUGGCAAGAUCUCAUUCUUUUUUUAUGGCUGGGUAGUAGUCAAUUGCUUAUACAUAUAUGCCACAUAUUCUUUAUCCAUUCAUCUGUGGAUGGGCACUUGGGUUGCUUCCAUAUCUUGGCUUUUGUAAAUAAUGCUGUAAUAAACAGAGAGGCACAUAGGUCUUUUCAAAUUAGUGUUUUUGUUUUCUUUGGGUAAAUACCCAGUAAUGGAAUUACUAGGUUGUAUGAUGUUUACAUUUUAAAAAUUUUUUUUAAGGAGCCUUCACACUGUUUUCCACAGUGACUGUACCAAUUUACAUUCUCACCAACUGUAUGCAAGAGUUUCUUUUUCUCCACAUCAUUAUCAAAAACUAUUUCUUGUCUUUUUGGUACUAGCCUCCUGACAGGUGUGAGGUGAUACCUCAUUGUAGUUUUGAUUUGCAUUGCUCUGAUGAUUAGUGAUGUUGAGCACCUUUUUCAUGUGUCUAUUGGCCAUCUGUAUGUCUUAGUGGGAAAAUGUGGGUAUUUUUCAUGUUGAGUUAAGUUCUUUAUAUAUUUUGGCCCUUAACCUUUGUUAAAAAAAUUGUAUUUAAAUUCUAGUUAGUUAACAUAUAGUAUAAUAUUAGUUUUAAGAGUACAGUUUAGUGAUUCAUCUCUUACAUACAACACCUAGUGCUCAACACAAGUGCCCUCCUUAAUACCCAUCACCCAUUGAGUAUUUUGGCUACUAACCUUUUACUGCAUAUAUCAUUGGCAAAUAUCCUCUCCCAUUACUGGGUUUCCUUUUCAUUUUGCUGAUGGUUUUCUUUGCUGUGCAUAAACUUUUUAUUUUUUGGUAUAGUCCCAAAAGUUUAUUUUUGCUUUUGUUUCCCUUGCUUGAAGAGACAUAUCUAAAAAGUGUUGCUGAGGCCAAUGCCAAAGAGAUUACUGCCUAUGCUUUCUUCGAGGAGUUUUAUGGUUUCAGGUCUCACCUUUAAGUUUUCAACGGAUUUUGAGUUUAUUUUUGUAUAUGGUAUAAUAAAGUGCUCCAAUUUCAUUCUUUUGCAUGGAGCUGUCCAGUUUUCCCAACAUCAUUUUUUUAAGACUAUUUUUUCCAUUGUACAAUUCUUAAAUCCUUUGUCAUAGAUAAAGCCAACUGAUUUUAAAUCUUGAUCUUGAGAUCCUUAAAACUGAUUUUAAAUAUUAGUUACAUCUAAAAAAUACCUUUAUAGCAAACAUUUACACUAAUGUUUGACCAAACAACUAAUCACCAAUGUCUAGCCGAAUUAAUACAUAAAAUUAACCAUCACGUAUGUCAAAGAUGAAUUACUAUUUAGCAAUCAUGAGUAAUGAAUUACGUUUUCUUUUUUUAAGAAAUAUUUUAUUUAUUUAUUCAUGAGAGACAGAGAGAGAGAGAGGCAGAGGGAGAAGCCAGCUCCAAGGCUCCAUACAGGGAGCCCGACAUGGGACUUGAUUCUGGGUCCCCAGGAUCAGGCCCUGGACUAAGGCAGCACUAAACUGCUGAGCCACAUGGGCUGCCUGAAUUACAUGUUCAAACAAACGAUAUCUCAAAAUUAUUAGUAAAAUAAAUAAGAAACUGAAUGAGAUGACUAUUAAUGUAAGUUAAAUACAUGCAUCUUACAGUACCAUUCAUACAUAUAAACAUAUGCAUGCAUGCAUAGAUCUUUUGAGAUAAGUGGAUGUCUAGGUGGGAGCGUGCAAAGGUGAUGGAGCACAAAAAGAAAAAUAAAUGACAUGAACCGUAACCAGACACCAACCAGGUGUCUUGCAUGAUCUGAUGAGGAGAGCCUCCAUUCAUUAGUGACAGAGGAGCAUGAUUAAGUCAGUUUUAUGCAUGUGACAUGGAGAAUCAAGUGUGCUAUCUUAAUUCACCACUCACAGGUUAAAUUAUUUUUAGAGUUCAUAUUAAAUAUCCUAUGGCACUUUGAGAUUGAAGGACAUUUACUGAACCUAGUAAGUGUACCUACUAAAAUCCUACAGAAAAUGUCAUUCUUUAUGAUUGAGAUUGGCCAUCACUCCUGUCAUCACAUGGUAGUGAAGGGCACAACACUACCACACAACAAAAAAAGAAAUACAGCAUGUAAUGAUUGGAAGAAAGUUUAGAAUUCCUCAUUAUUAUCAGAUGAUAGAUGGAUGCCUAUAAAGAAAAAUGUAGGGGAAUCUAAAAAAAAAAAAAUUAGAUAGACUGGAAGAGUUCAAUAAGAUUGCUGAGUUAAUUGUUUUAAGUGAUUUUUGUGCCUAACAUGGGGCUCAAACUAAGGAUCUCAAGAUCAAGAGCCACACACUCCACCAACUGAGCCUGCUAGGUGCCCUAUUAAUAUAUGAAACAAUAUAAAAUACUAGUAUGUAAAAUUAAUCACAUGCCUACAUAGCAUCAACAAACAAUAACAUAUAAUUUUAAAAAUUGCAGCAAAAAGAAAUCAGGUUCAAAAGACCAAAAUAAACAUAGAUCUAUACCACACUAAAUAGGAAGAAUCAAUCUAAUAAAACUGUCAAUUGUUGCCAUAUUAAUCGAUUAGCUAAAUGCAAAUUAAUUAAAAUCUUAAAAGGGUUUUUCUUGAGAAACUAAUUCUAAAAUCUAUACAAAUGAAUAAAAAACCAAGCACAUUCAGUGUACUUCUGGAAAAAAAGCAAAGGUUAAAAGGCAGUGGGGUGGGGGAUACUUAAAACUCCAAAUAAGUCUUAUGCCAAAUGUCUCAACUAUUACUUAGUCACAUCAGAGUUUCCCAGCAUUGGUACUGUUGACAUUUAGAUAGACCCAAGCAUUCUUUGUUCUAAGGAACUGUUCUCUGCAUUGUAGGAUGUUUAGCAACGUCCUUGGCUUCUACUUCUACAGUUGUGGCAAUCAAAGAUGUCUGCAGACAUUGCCAAAUGUCCUCUUCUGGGAAAAUUGCCCUUUUUGAGCACCACUGAGUUAAAAUAAUUAAAAUCAUUUGAUAUUGGCACAAGUAUAGACAAAUAGACUCAUUGCAAAGAGGAAAGAAAUAAGAACCAUAUAUACAUGGGAAUCUGGCAUAUAUAGUAAUGCUAUUACAAGUUGAAGGGGAACUCUUCAACAGAGGAUUCUAUAAUAAUUAGCUAUUUAUGGAAAAUGAUAAGUCAAAUAGAUCUCUUAUAGCACACACAAAAUAAAUCUCUGAUUAAUUAAUGAACCAAGUGUGAAGAUCUGAAUGUAAAAUUAAGGCAGUAUACAACUUUUUACCAGCAAUUUCAUUUGUAUCAAUCAAUCCUAGAAAAACUUCACACAUAUAUUCGAGGAGAUAUUUAAGAAGAUAUUUACUGUGGCAUAGUUUGUAUUGGCAAAAGCAUGCAAUGCAAAUAAUUUUACUAUCCCUCACUUUAUUUUUAGUCUGAUGGAAUGCUAUGUAUCUGUUUAAAUGAAUUAAACAUUUCUCCAAAAAAGACAUACAAAUGGCCGAAAAAAAUGAAAAACUGCUCAGCAUCACCUGGCAUCAGGGAAAUAUGAUCAAAAUUACAAUGAGAUACCACCUCAUACCUGUCAGAAUGGCUAAAAUUAAGAACUCAACAAAUAACAGAUGUUGAUGAGGACAUGGAGAAAGGGAAACCCUCUUUCACUGCUGGUGAGAAUGAAAACUAGUGCAGCCACUCUGGAAAACAGUAUGGAAGUUCCUCAAAAAGUUAAAAAUAGAGCUACCCUAUGACCCAACAAUUGUACUACUAGGUAUUUAUCCAGGGGAUAUAAACAUAGUGUUUCAAAGAGGGCACCUGCACCCCAAUGUUCACAGCAGCAAUGUCCAAAAGAGCCAAAAUAUGGAAAGAGCUCAGAUAUCCAUUGACAGAGGGAUGAAUAAAGAUGUAUAUAUAGUGAAUAUUACUCAGCUGUCAAAAAGAAUGAAAUCUUGCCAUUUGCAACAAUGUAGAUAGAACUAGAGGAUAUUAUGCUAAACAAAAUAAGUCAAAGAAAGAUAAUACCAUAUGAUUUUACUCAUAUGGAAUCAAGAAACAAAACAGAUGAAUAUAGGGGAAGGGAAGGAAAAUAAAAUAAAAUGAAAAUAGAGAGGGAGGCAAACCACAGGAGACUUUUAACUCUAGGAAACAAACAGGGUUGCUGGAGGGGAGUCUGUUGGGUGGAUGGGGUAACUGGGUGAUGGGUAUUAAGGAGAUCAUUUGAUGUAAUGAGCACUGGGAGUUACAUGCAACUGAUGAAUCACUAAAGUCUACCCCUGAAACUAAUAAUACAGUUUAUGUUAACUAAAUUGAACUUAAAUAAAGAAGUUUAAAAAACUAAAAAAAAAUUAAAAAUUUAAAAAAAAUAAAUGAAUCAGCUGGAUCUAAAACUAGCAGCAUGAGUAAACCUUAAAAUACAAUACUAAGAGAAGGAAGCAAGUUGCAAAGCAAUACUUUCAGUAAGAUAUCAUAUAUUUUAAAAGUGAAAACACUAAAAACAAUAUUUUAUAGUAGCCUACAAAUGGAUUAAAUAAAUAGAAGCCCACGAGCAAAAAUGUUAUCUUUCUGAAAAGCAGGAGAGGACAGAGGGAUAAUAUAAGAUGUUAAUUACAUAUUUAAAUAAAUCGUUUUUUGAAAAGUUCUGACAGCAAUGUGGCAUAAUUUCAAUAUUAAUGUUUGAGCAUCAAACGUAAAAGUAUGCUUUUUAUAUUUCUAUGUGUGAAAAAUGUGUUCAUAAUAAAAAAUAAAGUAUCCUUGGUUAUGUCUAUGUGCCAUUGAUUCAAGGUAUUUUUAUUGUCAGGAUAUAAAAUUAAAUCUCCUGUAAAUAUAAAAAUACUAUUAAGAUGAUUGGUUUAGGGAUGCCUGAGUGGCUCAGUGGUUGAGCAUCUGCCUUUGGUGCAGGACAUGAUCCUGGAGUUCCGGGAUCGAGUCCCUGCAGGGAGCCUGCUUCUCCCUCUGCCUAGGUCUCUGUCUCUCUCUGUGUCUCUCAUGAAUAAACAAAAUCUUUAAAAGGAAAAGAAAAAAAAGAGGAGUGGUUCACAGGCCAAUUGUGACGGCAAUGCAGGCUUUUUAUUUGCAUUCCUCCCUUAUAAAAGCAUCCCUGCAUGAGAGAUAUGGUGCUGAGUGGUUUUCCCAGAAAAGGUUGUACAUUCCUGCAUGUGGACUGGCAAAACAUAUGGAUAGAUAUUCUCUUCCCUGCUCAGGAGGUCAUCAUUACCACCUACACCCUCAGAGCCUUCUUCUGUUUUGUUUUGUGGUUUUCCAGCGGGGAGAAUUAAUAUUUAAGUUAUACAGGGGCACCUGGGGGCCUCAGCCGCUUCAGUGUCCGACUCUUGAUUUGGGCUCUUCAUGAUCUUGGGGUCAUGGGAUUGAGUCCCACCUCAGGCUCCUCACCCAGUGUGGAACUUGCUUGAGAUUUUCUCUCUCCCUCUGCCCCUCCCCUAUCAUUCUCUCUCCCUCUCUAAAAAAAAAAAAAAAA
This 5512-nucleotide long non-coding RNA is filed under the name Canis lupus familiaris (dog). RNAcentral describes it as "lncRNA (ENSCAFG00845003371.1)". The record is from RNAcentral. Lineage: Eukaryota; Metazoa; Chordata; Mammalia; Carnivora; Canidae.